CCAAUUCACCAAAACUAAGAAGGGAAACUCUAGCAAAUUGAAGAGAAAAGAGGGAGAGUUAGCUGAAUCAAGAGGGAGAGGAUGAAGAUCAAGAUCAAGGGGGUGAUUAAAGCUAAGAAAAAGAAGAAGAAGAACGCUUAAUGCAAGUCUUUCAGUUCAUAUAUGUUACUUGAACUUGAUAUUAAUUAUAUGCAUUUAUUAUAGCAAUAUGAAAUGUUGAAUAUAUGUUACUCGCUAUGAACUGGGAAAGUCAAAUUAUGACUAUAUUUGGCUGAGUUAUGGAACUUAAUAUGUGGUAUGUGAUAUGUUGGGCAUGUGGAACUUAUAUUUAUCAUAAAUUGAGAUAUAUGUUGAGUAUGAAAGUAUGUGCUAUAUAAUGCAUGAAAAUUAUUAGAUUUGCUGAGUUGUCGAGCUCAAUCUUGUAAAAAUAAACUUUUGCAGGUUAAGGAUUCAAAGAAAGAUUAUCUACUAUCUGAACAAUAAGAAAAAAAAGGCGAACAAAGGAAUAAUGUUUUCUUUAUUUGAAAUAAAACAUAUAUGGUAUUAGGAUGAUGAUGUACAAAAUACAAUGUAAAUUGUGAAAUGUUCA
This 589-nucleotide long non-coding RNA is filed under the name Panax ginseng (ginseng). Its description in RNAcentral is "long non-coding RNA (PGIN_LNC009564)". The record is from RNAcentral. Lineage: Eukaryota; Viridiplantae; Streptophyta; Magnoliopsida; Apiales; Araliaceae.